GGCAAUGGGGGAAACCCUGACCGAGCGACACUGCUUGAAGGAUGAAGGUCUUCGGAUCGUAAACUUCUGAACCUGCGAUGAAAAAUGACGGUAGCAGGCUAAUAGCACCGGCUAACUCC
Molecule: ribosomal RNA, 119 nt
Filed under: uncultured bacterium
Lineage: Bacteria
Description: partial 16S ribosomal RNA
Rfam family: Bacterial small subunit ribosomal RNA
Source: RNAcentral